CUUUAUUAUUAGAUUCAUGCCACUUAAUGUGGCCAGUGACGCCCUUCCUGAGCUGGCCUCAGCUCAUUCCUCCCUCUCCUCCCCAGCCACACCCCACUUGAUCUCUAUGCCCAGUGACAAGCUCUCUUUUGCUGUUCCUCCCCUCACCCAACCUCUUGUCCUGGUUAAAUUCUAGUCAUAUUUUAAGGCUCAUCUUCUCCUCUAGCGAGUUUUCAUUGUAACCUCAAAAUUAGAUUAUGUGCCCCUUUUUGUGCCCUUAUAGUGCCCAAAGUGUCCUAUCACGGGAGAGUUCACAGUGCACUGAAAUAAACUCUUUUAUUUUCUGUCUCCCCAGGACCAGCUGUAUCUACAGUACCUAGAACCAUGCCUGGCAUACAGUAGGCACCCAAUACAUAUUUGAUGGAUGAAUUAAGGAAUGAAUGAAUGAAUGAAUGAAUGAAAAGUAAAUUAAUGAACGAAAAAACUAAACAAUAAGGCAACUGUAUUAGCCCGUUUUCACACUGCCGAUAAAGACAUACCCGAGACUGGGCGAUUUACAAAGGAAGAAGUUUAUUGGACUUACAGUUCCACGUGGCUGGGGAGGCCUCACAAUCAUGGUGGAAGGUGAAAGGUACGUCUCACAUGGCGGCAGACAAGAGAAGAGAACUAUUGCAGGGAAAUUUACGUUUUUAAAACCAUCAGGUCUCGUGAGACUUAUUCACUAUCAUGAGAACAGCACAGGAGAGACCUGCCCCCAUGAUUCAAGUACCUCCCACCGGGUCCCUCCCACAACAUAUGGGAAUUCAAGAUGAGAUUUGGGUGGGGACACAGCCAGACCAUAUCAGCAACUAAGGCUUAGAGCGGUUGGGUAAUUUGCUCAAGGUCUCAAGGACGAUAAAUGAUGACUUUUGAACAUGGGUCCUUUGGCUCAAGAACCCAUGUGGUUUUUGUUUUCUUCUAUUUCACUUGGUUUAUGCCUAAUGGCCCAUGUUUUAUCAGGAAGGUGUGAAUAAAGACAUGUCCUAGCCAGGAGGUGCUAGGGCUGAAGGUUUGAGGGAAAGUAGUAGAAAAGGUUUCAAACAGCUGCUUUGAGUGCCUGCUAAUGGCAGAUUAUGGAAGCCCAAUGUUGAGGGUCUAGUAAGGGUAGGUUAUGGAAGCCUGACACGGGUGUCUUGGAGCUCUCUCCCUGGGACUCCUGUGCUUGUGGUGCUGUAGAACCAAGUGUUGGCACACAGUCAGCAAUCCCAGCUGAGCCUUGCCUUGCAGCCAUCCCCACUGAGGUGCUAGACUUACAAGGGAAGCUGUCCUGGACCCUCCAGACCAGUCCAUCUGCCAGCCGAAUACAACACCACCACCUCAGCCAGCACUACAUGGAACAGAACAAUGGAGCAGCUGAGCCCUGCCCAAACUCCUCACCCACAAAAGCACAAAGAGUAAAAAUGGCUGUUGUUUUAAGCCGGUCAGUUUUGGGGUAAUUUGACACAUGGCAACAGAUAACCAGAAUAUACCACAAGUUCAUUUUGUAGCUUCCUUCUCUUCAUGGUGCCAGACAAAUCAUAGCCAAUGGCCAGGCUAACAACCAGUCACAAGAAAACAAACUCUCCCCUCUUGCACAUGGCAAUUCACACACAAAAACAAUUACAGUGAUUUUGCAUUUCUUACAAAUAGCCUAUCCAUGGGCCGAUUCGAAAUGUUGCCCAUAAAACCAUUUUUCCUUUGCAGGUUAUAAACACUGAUAAAAAGGAAACAUGUCCUCUCCGUGCAGACUGAGCCGACAGGACGGACAUUCUUUUGAUCAUUUUACCAUUUUCAUGUUUGACACACAACAGCUUUUUCACUGUUCAACCCAAAUUUGAAGAGGAAACAAGAUAACAUCUGUUUCCUUCACCAUCCUUCCAUGCAUUUCAUAGCACCCAGAUAUAUAGGUGCUUUGCUCACAGGGAUCACGCUAUUCAAGUUCACCUUCUGAUGAUUCUGAGAUGAAAAUGGCAUUUGCUAUAGAUCCCUCUCACAGGGUAGGCCGGGAAUGCAGACUAGCUAAGUAGGGAGUGGGAGGCAAUUACUCUAACCUCAGUGGACAAAACAGUUCCCCAAACUGCAGAAUUAGCAGAGCACAAACGCUGCAGCUGUUUGCAAAGGCACCCGCGGUAUUUCUGACAUGGCAAAUCAUGCUGGUGAUGUCAGACUCUUUUCUUAAACAAAAGUGAAAUGUGAGAAGGUGAAAAUACGUGACUGCUGGAAGAUGUUUUUCCUUGUUUGGGGACUGCAUUCGCAAAUGACUCUUGUCCAGGACCCUGGGUUUUCCCCAGGUCUUUUAAAGGUCUACAUUCCUUUAGAAUCCUUCACUAAACCUACCAGUUGGCUCCCUAACUUCCCGGUUAUCUCACCGCUCUGUCAUGCAAGUCACUGAGCAGGGAAAGUGACUCAUAGGCUCUAAAGAAAACCUAAUUCAUUGAAUUAAACAUUGGAAAGAAUCUAAGUGAGUCACUGUAUCCUUCGCUUGGUCUUUAGGCAGCACCACACCUUGAUCAUUCCAGCCAGAAGGGAGGUAAUCAUAUUUUUAAAAAGCUGCUUGGAGAAGGAUUAUUUACAACGAUAAUAAAUCCCAUUUCUAUAUAUACCUAUAUUCCGAAAACAACAGCAAAGGCACUGCAAAAUUAAACCCCAAAAUACAAACUGAAGAGCAGAAAUAUGCAAAGCCUUGAGCCUAGCUCACACCGCUUCUGUGCAAAUUAGAAAAAGGUGGCCCCCCAGGUUGAAGGAAUUAGGAAAAAGCACCCACUUGGGGCAGCAGCUGCUGACAGCCAUGUUUGGGGGCCUGAGAACAAAUUCCAGGACCUUGUGCAGUGGCGUGAGAAGAAGGACAUGGAACUUUUUAUGACUCCCCCUCCCCAUUUUCCUGGUAAAAUCUUUU
Molecule: long non-coding RNA, 2893 nt
Filed under: Homo sapiens (human)
Lineage: Eukaryota; Metazoa; Chordata; Mammalia; Primates; Hominidae
Description: HSALNT0084706
Source: RNAcentral